UACGUAGGGCGCAAGCGUUGUCCGGAAUUAUUGGGCGUAAAGAGCUCGUAGGCGGUUUGUCGCGUCUGCUGUGAAAACUCAGGGCUUAACCCUGAGCUUGCAGUGGGUACGGGCAGACUAGAGUGCGGUAGGGGAGACUGGAAUUCCUGGUGUAGCGGUGAAAUGCGCAGAUAUCAGGAGGAACACCGAUGGCGAAGGCAGGUCUCUGGGCAUUAACUGACGCUGAGGAGCGAAAGCAUGGGGAGCGAACAGG
Molecule: ribosomal RNA, 253 nt
Filed under: uncultured bacterium
Lineage: Bacteria
Description: partial 16S ribosomal RNA
Rfam family: Bacterial small subunit ribosomal RNA
Source: RNAcentral